This 253-nucleotide ribosomal RNA is filed under the name uncultured bacterium. Its description in RNAcentral is "partial 16S ribosomal RNA". It matches the Rfam family "Bacterial small subunit ribosomal RNA", at positions 524 to 776 of the family's 1533-position model. The record is from RNAcentral.
UACAGAGGGGGCAAGCGUUAUUCGGAAUUAUUGGGCGUAAAGGGCGCGUAGGCGGCUUUGCAAGUGACGGGUGAAAUCCCUCGGCUUAACCGAGGAACUGCCUGUCAGACUGCAUGGCUUGAGACCAGGAGAGGUGAGUGGAAUUCCCAGUGUAGCGGUGAAAUGCGUAGAUAUUGGGAGGAACACCAGUGGCGAAGGCGGCUCACUGGACUGGUACUGACGCUGAGGAGCGAAAGCCAGGGGAGCAAACGGG